RNAcentral lists this ribosomal RNA (531 nucleotides) under Bovicola bovis (cattle chewing louse). RNAcentral's name for it is "SSU rRNA". It matches the Rfam family "Eukaryotic small subunit ribosomal RNA", at positions 5 to 508 of the family's 1831-position model. The record is from RNAcentral. Lineage: Eukaryota; Metazoa; Arthropoda; Insecta; Psocodea; Bovicoliidae.
UGGUUUAUCCUGCCAGUAGUCAUAUGCUUGUCUCAAAGAUUAAGCCAUGCAGGUCUCAGUGCAAGCCGAAUUAAGGUGAAACCGCGAAAAGCUCAUUAAAUCAGCUAUGGUUCCUUAGAUGGUACGUACAGUUACUUGGAUAACUGUGGCAAUUCUAGAGCUAAUACAUGCAAACCGAGUUCCGACCGCUUAGCAGGCGGAAGGAAUGCUUUUAUUAGAUCAAAACCAAUCGGACUCUACACGUAUGGGUUCGUUUAAGUCUUGGUGACUCUGAAUAACUUUGUGCUGAUCGCACGGUCCCGCACCGGCGACGCAUCUUUCAAAUGUCUGACUUAUCAACUUUCGAUGGUAAGCUCUGCGCCUACCAUGGUCGUAACGGGUAACGGGGAAUCAGGGUUCGAUUCCGGAGAGGGAGCCUGAGAAACGGCUACCACAUCCAAGGAAGGCAGCAGGCGCGCAAAUUACCCACUCCCGGCACGGGGAGGUAGUGACGAAAAAUAACGAUGCAGAACUCUUUCCGAGGCUCUGCAA